GCUGGGCGUGGUGGCCCAUGCCUGUAAUCCCAGCACUUUGGGAGGCUGAGACAGGCAGAUCACUUGAGGUCAGGAAUUCAAGACUAGCCUGGCCAACAUGGUGAAACCCUGUCUCUACUAAAAAUACACAAAAUUAGCUGGUAUUGUGGGUGUACACCUAUAGUCCCAGCUAUUCGGGAGGCCGAGGCAGGAGAAUCACUUGAACCCACGAGGCAGAGGUUGCAGUGAGCUGAGAUCAUGCCACUGCACUUCAGCCUGGGCAACAGAGUGAGACUCUGUCUCCU
Unclassified non-coding RNA from Mandrillus leucophaeus (drill), 284 nucleotides. It matches the Rfam family "Metazoan signal recognition particle RNA". From Rfam's summary of the family: The signal recognition particle (SRP) is a universally conserved ribonucleoprotein. It is involved in the co-translational targeting of proteins to membranes. NCBI's taxonomy places the organism in Eukaryota, Metazoa, Chordata, Mammalia, Primates, Cercopithecidae. The record is from Ensembl.